RNAcentral lists this ribosomal RNA (114 nucleotides) under Oncorhynchus mykiss (rainbow trout). The record is from RNAcentral. Lineage: Eukaryota; Metazoa; Chordata; Actinopteri; Salmoniformes; Salmonidae.
GCUUACGGCCACACCGGCCUGAGUACGCCUGAUCCGAUCUCGGAAGCUAAGCAGGGUCGGGCCUGGUUAGUACUUGGAUGGGAGACCGCCUGGGAAUACCAGGUGCUGUAAGCU